RNAcentral lists this unclassified non-coding RNA (314 nucleotides) under plant metagenome. RNAcentral's name for it is "partial contains 5.8S ribosomal RNA, internal transcribed spacer 2, and large subunit ribosomal RNA". The stretch from base 1 to 105 matches the Rfam family "5.8S ribosomal RNA", at positions 50 to 154 of the family's 154-position model. The record is from RNAcentral.
GAAAUGCGAUAAUUAAUGUGAAUUGCAGAAUUCAGUGAAUCAUCGAGUCUUUGAACGCACAUUGCGCCCCCUGGUAUUCCGGGGGGCAUGCCUGUCCGAGCGUCAUUGCUGCCCUCAAGCACGGCUUGUGUGUUGGGCUUCCGUCCCUGGCAACGGGGACGGGCCCAAAAGGCAGUGGCGGCACCAUGUCUGGUCCUCGAGCGUAUGGGGCUUUGUCACCCGCUCCCGAAGGUCCAGCUGGCAGCUAGCCUCGCAACCAAUCUUUUUAACCAGGUUGACCUCGGAUCAGGUAGGGAUACCCGCUGAACUUAAGC